Molecule: non-coding RNA, 49 nt
Filed under: Trichobilharzia regenti
Lineage: Eukaryota; Metazoa; Platyhelminthes; Trematoda; Strigeidida; Schistosomatidae
Source: RNAcentral
GUACUGAUGAAGAGUCCCAAACUAGGCGAACGAAACAGCUGUCCAGUAC